GAUGAACGCUGGCGGCGUGCCUAAUACAUGCAAGUCGAGCGAACGGACGAGAAGCUUGCUUCCCUGAUGUUAGCGGCGGACGGGUGAGUAACACGUGGAUAACCUACCUAUAAGACUGGGAUAACUUCGGGAAACCGGAGCUAAUACCGGAUAAUAUUUUGAACCGCAUGGUUCAAAAGUGAAAGACGGUCUUGCUGUCACUUAUAGAUGGAUCCGCGCUGCAUUAGCUAGUUGGUAAGGUAACGGCUUACCAAGGCAACGAUGCAUAGCCGACCUGAGAGGGUGAUCGGCCACACUGGAACUGAGACACGGUCCAGACUCCUACGGGAGGCAGCAGUAGGGAAUCUUCCGCAAUGGGCGAAAGCCUGACGGAGCAACGCCGCGUGAGUGAUGAAGGUCCUCGGAUCGUAAAACUCUGUUAUUAGGGAAGAACAUAUGUGUAAGUAACUGUGCACAUCUUGACGGUACCUAAUCAGAAAGCCACGGCUAACUACGUG
Molecule: ribosomal RNA, 497 nt
Filed under: uncultured bacterium
Lineage: Bacteria
Description: partial 16S ribosomal RNA
Rfam family: Bacterial small subunit ribosomal RNA
Source: RNAcentral